RNAcentral lists this ribosomal RNA (460 nucleotides) under Lactococcus lactis. Its description in RNAcentral is "bacterial SSU rRNA". It matches the Rfam family "Bacterial small subunit ribosomal RNA", at positions 28 to 479 of the family's 1533-position model. Lineage: Bacteria; Bacillati; Bacillota; Bacilli; Lactobacillales; Streptococcaceae. The record is from RNAcentral.
GACGAACGCUGGCGGCGUGCCUAAUACAUGCAAGUUGAGCGCUGAAGGUUGGUACUUGUACCAACUGGAUGAGCAGCGAACGGGUGAGUAACGCGUGGGGAAUCUGCCUUUGAGCGGGGGACAACAUUUGGAAACGAAUGCUAAUACCGCAUAAAAACUUUAAACACAAGUUUUAAGUUUGAAAGAUGCAAUUGCAUCACUCAAAGAUGAUCCCGCGUUGUAUUAGCUAGUUGGUGAGGUAAAGGCUCACCAAGGCGAUGAUACAUAGCCGACCUGAGAGGGUGAUCGGCCACAUUGGGACUGAGACACGGCCCAAACUCCUACGGGAGGCAGCAGUAGGGAAUCUUCGGCAAUGGACGAAAGUCUGACCGAGCAACGCCGCGUGAGUGAAGAAGGUUUUCGGAUCGUGAAACUCUGUUGGUAGAGAAGAAACGUUGGUGAGAAGUGGAAAAGCUCAUUC